This is a non-coding RNA of Jatropha curcas, 121 nucleotides long. NCBI's taxonomy places the organism in Eukaryota, Viridiplantae, Streptophyta, Magnoliopsida, Malpighiales, Euphorbiaceae. The record is from Rfam.
UAAUGAAUAUCAGUGCAAUUCUCCUUUGGCAGGAAUAAGUAUGAUAUAGGCAUAUAAUUAAGCUUGUGCAUCUAUGCUAGACCUGGUUACUGCCAAAGGAGAAUUGCCCUGUUAUUCAAUU